This 72-nucleotide transfer RNA is filed under the name Ictidomys tridecemlineatus (thirteen-lined ground squirrel). RNAcentral's name for it is "Spermophilus tridecemlineatus (thirteen-lined ground squirrel) tRNA". It matches the Rfam family "tRNA". From Rfam's summary of the family: Transfer RNA (tRNA) molecules are approximately 80 nucleotides in length. Their secondary structure includes four short double-helical elements and three loops (D, anti-codon, and T loops). Lineage: Eukaryota; Metazoa; Chordata; Mammalia; Rodentia; Sciuridae. The record is from Rfam by way of RNAcentral.
GGAAAUGUAGCUCAGUGGUAGAGUGCUUGCUUACCAUGUGGAAGGCUCUGUGUUUGAUACACAGCACCACCA